Clupea harengus (Atlantic herring) is the source of this 984-nucleotide long non-coding RNA. Lineage: Eukaryota; Metazoa; Chordata; Actinopteri; Clupeiformes; Clupeidae. The record is from Ensembl.
CCAUUCCAUUUGUCUCUCGUGUCGGAAGGGGAAUUCCAGAUGUCUGAUGACUGCAAACAUGACCCCCCCACCCCCCUCCUCCUCCUCCUCCUCUUCCUCGUCCUCCAGGCUACUCGUCGGCUGAUGUCACGGGCGGCGGAGGGGAUCCUAAACGAGGAGUAAUUCCUGGCGACAAGCUCGGAGGCGCACGGCGAUCCGCGUUUGUUCUCCCUUUCUCAUCUUUCCUCCCUCGGUCUCUCUCGCUCUAUUCCUCUUUCUGGCUGCCUCCAGUGAGCCUGAUAAAGAAGGGAAAAAAAAAACUCUUCACAGCAGGACUCCACCACUCUGUUGCUAUGGCAAACACAUGCCAGUGUCCGCAAAGAAAUUGUCCGCAUACAAAUUAGCAUCCGGACGCUACUGCAGGCAGAAAUGCACUGGGCUGCCUGCCUUGACAAGCAAUCUUAGUGUUUGUCACUGGAAAUGUCAUCAAUUUCCAUUUGCGGAUGAUUUUGUGAGAUUGUCAUCUUUCCUGCCUAGAAUGAGCCAUUUGUAUCUACAUAAGGAGUGGGUCCUCUUUCAUGGAACCUGCCAUGUUGCACCAUAGGUACCUGCACACGCUUGUAAAGUUACCCAACACAUCUUGAUGUACCAUCUGCACACCGAUGUCCCCAGAUCCCUGCGGUCAGCACAUGCAGGGAGUAUUCGACAUCACCUGUGACUUUACGUGACAUAAUGGAGUCGAUGAGCCAAGAUCCUUCUCAGAAUCAUCCAGGAUUUCCAUCCAAUGUCUCUGUGCUGUGAAGGGACUUCUAAUGCUCCUUAACCCAGAAGCUGUUGAUGGCGGUCGGCCCAAAUAUGAAGCUAACGGAUAACAGCAUUGAACCAACUGAUGAGGUUACGCUGAAGAAAUGCUGAAUGUCAGUCUCUGUUCACCUCAAGGCCGGGGACGAUCUGUCAGAAUGGAUGUUUGAGGUCACAUGAAACGUUUAGGUUGAAAUUGCCCCA